UUAUAAAAAUAUAAAUGAAUUGUAUAUAUCUUUUAUAUUAUAUCUAAGAUAUACAAGUAUAUAAAGAGACUAUUAUGGAAAUACGUGCUAUGUAUUAAAGAGAGAAAUUUAACUUAUGUACAUGAAUAAAACAUAUGAACUCUUAGAGAAAUUAUUUAAUAAACGAAGUGAAUUGAAAUAUCUUAUUAACUUCAGGAAAAAAAAUCAAACGAGAUUCUAUGAUUAGUGUGAACUAAAAUAGAGUAGCCUAUAUAAAUAAGUAAAAUGGCCUAAAAGCUGUUUGAAUUUAUGGGGAACCUUCCUCAAAGCCUAAAUAUAAUACAUGAGCGACAGUGAAAAGUACCGUGAGGGAAAAUUUUUUUGAAAUAGUAGUUUUAUAAGCAGCUCAAGCUGAUAAUAAAAAGCAAGAGCGUACCUUUUGCAUAAUGGGUCACCAAGUUAACAUUAGAUGCGAGCUAAUUAUCUUGAUUUGAUAGAUGACAUGCAUAGUUAAACCGAUCAUUAAAAUAAUGAAUAGUGUCUAAAGUUAGACCCGAAGCCUAGUGAUCUUACUAUAGUCAGGGCUAUAAAGGUCCGAACGGGUUAUCGUUGCAAAGAUAUCCGAAGAACUAUGGUAAGCGAGUGAAAGACAACACUGACUAGGAUAGCUGGUUUUCUGCGAAACCUAUAAAAGUAGGCAGUUUAAGUAACAUCUUAGCAGGUACAGAACUUUAUCUCAGACAAGAUGUAUAUUCUCAUAUGGAUAAGUAAGGCGCGGCGCGGCGAAAGCUCUUCCUCGCUAUUUAUCUAUUUAUAUGAAAUACAUUUUAUUUGUAUACAUCGGGGGAUCGUGAAGAUUUUAUCGGUGAGUAUGUAGACUCGGAAUGACAAAGAUGGUUCUUGAAUUAUCGGACAUAGAAUGCUAAGGUUGUAUGUCAAAAGGGAAACAGCCCAGAACAAAGAAAUAGUUAAGGUUCCAAAAUUAUUAUUAAGUGAAAUUAAGAGGGUUUUUAUAUAAGUCGACAAGAAGAUAGGCCUGGAAGCAGCCAUAUUUUAAAGACCUCGUAACAGAGCACUUGUUAAAUCUUAAAAGCAUCGAAAAUUUAUCGGAUCUAAAUAAUAUACCGAAACUUUGUCCACAAAUGACCAUAAUAAAUUAAGUUAUGGUCAUUUUUGUGGGGUAGCAGAACGUUGAGUUAAUAUUUGACUUUUCUUUUUUAAAGAAAAAUAUAGGACAACUCAAGUGAUAAUGGUGACAUGAGUAACAAAAAAGAAGGGCUAUGUAAAUUAUAAUAUAAUAUAAUAUUAUAUUAUAUGUUAAGCUCUCUCGCCUAAAGCUUAUGGAAAGAGUUUUAAAAAAGUAACGGCCUCUAAGUUGAUAAUACUUAUAUUAUUGCGAUGAGAAAAUCUAAUUACUUUAGACAACAUUUAACCUUCAAGGCACGGGCAAGCACCUCGAAAAAUUUAUUUUUUUUGAGGAGCUUGCAACCGCGCCUUGUAGGGAGUGAAAAAUGUGCUGGAAAAAAAAGUAACCGAUCUGAUUUUCUUUAUAAAACUAAGUGGGUGACACUACUCAUGCAUGCAAACUACUGCGUAGUUAAGCCAGCAUGUAGUACGUAGUACCACUCGCUUAAUUAAGGAAAUAGGAGAAGGAAGUACCGUACCUAGAAACUGAAACAAGUAAGCUAGUAGAGAAUACGAAGGCGUAAUGAGGUAACAAUCAUAAAGGAACUCGGCAAACUUACUACCGUAACUUAGGGAU
Molecule: ribosomal RNA, 1741 nt
Filed under: Podospora anserina
Lineage: Eukaryota; Fungi; Ascomycota; Sordariomycetes; Sordariales; Podosporaceae
Rfam family: Bacterial large subunit ribosomal RNA
Source: RNAcentral